AUUCUGCACCAUAAAACUUUCUGAAUAAACUACAUUGAGAAAACAACUCAUGGUGAAAACAAUUAUAAUUUCAACAUACAAGAGUGAAGUUACGUAGAAAUUGUAUCAAUUCUUGACACUUGACAGUAUAUAGCAAUGUCCUUCUACAAAUAAUAGAGCAUAGGAAGUACUUCAUUCAACAACGCAAAGUGUCCACUUUAUUUUUUUCAGAUAGUGUGGCUAGACAACCCACAUUCUGAUGCGGACAUCCAUUUACUAUUUAUUUUCUUUCAUUUACUAUUUAUUUUCUAUUUGAACUAUUAGUUAUAUUCUAUUUGGAUUAUUAUUUAUAUUUCUGUUAUUGGGCUUGUUUAGUGGAUUUAGCCCAAGCCCUUCUCUUUAGGGUUUUUGUUUUAUUCUUUAUUUCUGUUUUGUUGCGUAUUUGAGAUAGUUGAUGAAUUGAUUGAAUAAUAAAGUGGCUGUAGCCCUGUUUUUCCUCUCUUCUUCCCUCUCUCUGUGUUCUUCUCUCGGUUCCCCCUUCUCUUUUCCUCUCUUUCUUGCUUCUUCUUUCUAUUUUUUAAUUCGUCCUGCAUCAAAGUGGUAUCAGAGCCAAAAUUUGGGUAGUUUUUCAUCCACAAUCCAAAACUUUCUUUCUAUCCUCUUCCCAAAAACUUGUGGAACAACACAAACAAAAAAAAAUUGUUAUGAAACAACAGUUUUCUUGUUCAAUUUUCUUUCUAGUUGAUUAGGCAAAAAAAAAAAAAAAAAAAGUCACUGUUGAUGGGUACUGUUCACACCCGGAAUUUCAGUUUUUUUUUUUUUUAUAAAUUUUUAAGCAGUUUCACAAAAAAAAAAAAAUUAUUACUGUUCACGAGUACUAUUCACACCCGAAAUUUCUUUUUUUUUUUAAUUUAUCAUUUUCUGCAGUUCCAAAAAAAAAAUCGUCACUGUUCACGUGUACUGUUCACACCCGAAAUUUCUUUUUUUUAUUUUUUAUUUAUCAUUUUCUGCAGUUCCCAAAAAAAAAAAGUGAAAAAAAAGAGAAGAAACGUUUUUUCUAUUAUUUACAGGUACAUCUUUUAUUCUGAUUGAUCUGACUUGACUACUUCGACGAACGAAAGGGAAAUUCUUGCUUUUAUUUAUUGUUGGUUUAUAUUACUGUUUCAUUUUGAAAUUGCAUCAAUUAAAUUUUUGUACUGCUGCUGAUCUAUUUUUAUCUAAACUCACGUAAUUGGAUCCAUUGACCUCGUUAAAUCUCACUUUAACCUGCUUAUUUUACGUGAUUAGGUUUUGACUAGUAUUUGACCAUUGCUUUAUUAUUUUACAUAUACCAGCAGUAAUAGCUUGUUGUAUAUAAUUUUAAUCCCAAAAUUUAAAUUAAAAAAAAAAUAGCUCAAAUUUUCAUUUUCCAUUACUUGUACUUUUUGUUCGUUGAUCUCUCUAUUGCAUGUCAUUAAGUUGCUAUUACAGUGCAUGUAGUUACAUAUUGGUCAUUUUGUUGCAUUGCUUUAUUAUUUUACAUAUACCAGCAAUACUAGCUUGUUGUAUAUAAUUUUAAUCCCAAAAUUUAAAUUAAAAAAAAAAAUAGCUCAAAUUUUCAUUUUCCAUUACUUGUACUUUUUGUUCGUUUAUCUCUCUAUUGCAUGUCAUUAAAUUGCUAUUACAGUGCAUAUAGUUACAUAUUGGUCAUUUUGUCACUUCUAGCUCUAGUACCUUAAACAUGAACCCUUCACAAUUCGAUGCACUCACCCGACAAAUAGCGGCUAUUCAAACUCAAAUGACCGCUACUCUUGAAGAGAGUAAGGCCCUAUCUGUUAGUUUGAAAAAUUUUAAACACAUCCCUCAUUCAAUUGAUGUUGAUAAUUCUAAGGUGUCUCAUAAUAGACAACAUCGUCGACAAGGUAAUCAAAAAUACUUUCAACCCGAUCAUAAGGAUAGGGAUAGGAAUAGGGAUCAAAUUCGUGAGUGAGAACGAGAUAAUUUUGAAAUUCUUACUCAAUGGAAUGCCCUUAAACAAGGAAAUCAAUUAGUGACUGAGUAUAUCGCGCAAUUUGAGGAAUUUCGAACCAAAUGUCAUUUAAUUGAGGAUGAGAGCACGACUUUGAGUAGGUUUAGCCAAGGUCUAAGAGAUGAUCUUAAGCGCGAGCUUUUCCUUCGAGGUGUCACUACUCUUAAUCACGCUUACUCUUUAGUUCGAAAUUAUCAGUUGAUUAUUAGUACUGCAUAUGAAAGUGUGGUCAUCUCGCCUCAUCACAAGUCUAUCAUAAAACCUUCUCCGUCUAAUGUUCCUUCUAUUUGGAAAAAUAAUUGUAAAGGUCGUGAUAGUCCAAGAUCUUCUUCUCCAGGUAGAAAGCAUAUUGACAAUCAUCAUUCGGUGUCACUGGCUCCACUUCCUCCCGUUAAAUCCCUUCUAGGACCUCCCCGUCUGAUGUUCCUCCAAUUUUGAAAAAUAAGGAUAAAAUUUUUUAUAAUCAUUAUUUGGCUUCAUUGGCUCCACCUCCUUCCGUUAAGUCCCUUCUAGGACCUCCCCCUUCUAAUGGUUCCCAGAAAAUCAGGGUAAAAUUUUUGAAACUCCAAGGUCUUCUUUUCACUUGUUGUGCGUCAACUGUAAAGACUUUGGUCACAUUUCUUCUAAAUGUCCUAAUCGAACCUUAGUCAUGGAAGAACGAAAGAAUGUAAUAGAAAAGCCAUUGGAAGAUUUAGUCUAUGAACCUAAACUUGAAGAUUUUGAUGACUUGGAUGAUAGUGAGGACACUUCCUUAGGUGGAAUCCAAACUCUUUCCAAGACUUGGGAUACUAUACCCCUUAUCUCUGACAAUUCUCGAUCACAUGUUAUAUGUCAUACACUUACCCAAGUUAAAAAGCUUGACGGUGUCACCAGUCACCCUUGGAAAAUUCAGUCGCCUGUGGUUAAUACUAAGGCAAAAUUAUUCACCAUUGACCAACCUCAAAUUGAUGGUCGCAACAAAAGUGCUAAUCAAAAUCCUGACAAUUUAUUACAGUCUCUAGUCCAGAAAAAUCUUGAAAAUUGGGACUUGAUCCCUCCAAUUGUUCAAAUUGCAUAUAACAAUCCCAUGAACUGUUCUUUAGGUCUAAAACCCUUUGAAGUUAUUCUUGGUUGUGAACCUUUGAAACCUCUAAACCUUAUUCCCAUGCACUCACAUGCUUGUGUGUUUAUGUCAGUUGAGGUAGUUGUAUCACAUUUUCAUAGCUUGCAUAUUGAGAUCAAUAAAUAAUUUGAAGCAAGUAAAGCAUUAUAUAAACCUCAAGUUGAUUGGCAUAAACAAUACUUUGAAUUUAAUAUUGGGAAUUAUGCUAUAUUGCAAGCGUGUAAUGCUGAUCUUUUUAAAAUUUCAAAGCAAGUUGGUCAAAAUGCCUAUGUCAAUGACCUUUUAUCACAUUAUGACCACCGCCCUUUUUUAUUUGUUACAGACUUCGAUGCUUACACCGGCUAUUUUAGCCCCUCUGAUGACCCGUUUCUACUCCCACAUGAGAAUUCCCACACUGAAUCUUUUGCCAUGUCUGCUUCAAUCCCACCUAUUACAGCACACGAAAAUAAAAUUGAUAUUAUUUUGGAUGAACAGCUUGUGUUGACCAAUGAUAGAGAAAUUCAAUGCUUUCUUGUUCGUUGGAUGGAUCGACUUGAUUCUGACGGUACAUGGAUUCCCAAAGAGAGACUUCAGUGGCGUGAGCCAAAUUCAUUGGAGCUUUAUAAGAGUCAGCAAUAUUCUCAUUCGCCUAAGUUAUCUUGGUCAGCUCAUGUUUUUGCGGGUAAUUUGCAAUUGGUGUCGUCAUCAUUUGUGGAAUUUCGAUAUUUGGUUCGUCAGAAAGAUCGUCCCCCAUGGCAUGACUUGGAGCCUUUAGCAUCAGAUUCAUUGCAACAUUUGGAUUUAUCCACUCGAAGGGGUCGAGUUUUUUUCCCACCCCGAGAGAGUGGAUGCGGACAUCCAUUUACUAUUUAUUUUCUUUCAUUUACUAUUUAUUUUCUAUUCGGACUAUUAGUUAUAUUCUAUUUGGAUUAUUAUUUAUAUUUCUGUUAUUGGGCUUAUUUAGCGGGUUUGGCCCAAGCCCUUCUCUUUAGGGUUUUUGUUUUGUUAUUUAUUUCUAUUUUGUUGCGUAUUUGAGAUAGUUAAUGAAUUGAUUGAAUAAUAAAGUGGUUGUAGCCCCGUUUUUCCUCUCUUCUUCCCUCUCUCUGUGUUCUCCUCUCGGUUCUCCCUUCUCUUCUCCCCUUCUCCUUCCUAUUUCUUGUUAUUCAUCCUACAUCACAUUCAUUCUAGAUUUUUGGCUAUAAUUGGAAUAAGUGGAGUUUGUAUUGUUAUUGUUUGGGAGCAUGACAUUAAAAAACAAAUUUCUGGAUAACAGUUAUACAUCAUCAUCACUAGGCUUUCAGUUUUGCUUAACGCAUAAAGCCUAUUCAAAUGCCCAUCAAUCUAUCUCCACCAUCAUUAUCUCUAAUUGAGUAUUUCUUAGUGCAUAAACAUAAUUCUGUUUCAACAAAUAGACAUCAAUCAGUUGACGAAAGAAGUAUAUUUUCCUCAGUGUCGAUGAUGUGCUUGUGUGUAUAUCUAUUUCUUUUCCACAUGUAACAAGAUAACAACAUGCUCAACAUAACAAAUCACUGAAAUCUAGAUACUUAUAUUUCCAUUCAAUCACAAAAAUUUGGCUGAGUUAAUUAUUGCAAGUGCUGGAGCCAGAUAAAGAAAAGAAGGGCCCUGUAACAAGGGCAAUCUCGAUCCAAAUGAUGUGUGGAAAAGUGUUGUCACUCUUGUCAUAAAUAACUUGGGGCAAAAGACAUUUGCUGCAUCCUCCUAUGCCCACUAACAUCCU
RNAcentral lists this long non-coding RNA (4806 nucleotides) under Olea europaea (common olive). RNAcentral's name for it is "long non-coding RNA (OEUR_LNC006346)". Lineage: Eukaryota; Viridiplantae; Streptophyta; Magnoliopsida; Lamiales; Oleaceae. The record is from RNAcentral.